UCCGAGUUGACCCCGGCAGUCUCCUGCGAGUACCCGACAUUACUCGCUGGCAACUAGCGACAAGGGUUGCGCUCGUUAAGGGACUUAACCCGACACUUCACAGCACGAGCUGACGACAGCCAUGCAGCACUUGUGCUUGUUCCACCCUUGCGGGUGUGGCCCCUGUUUCCAGGGGUUAAUCCAAGCAUGUCAAGCCCAGGUAAGGUUCUUCGCGUUGCUUCGAAUUAAGCAACAUGCUCCACCGCUUGUGUGAGCCCCCGUCAAUUCCUUUGAGUUUUAGCCUUGCGACCGUACUCCCCAGGCGGCACACUUAUCAAUUUCUCUACGACCAAUACGACGUCAGAGCCGCAUCGGUCUAGUGUGCAUCGUUUAGGGCGUGGACUAC
Molecule: unclassified non-coding RNA, 385 nt
Filed under: uncultured Phycisphaeraceae bacterium
Lineage: Bacteria; Pseudomonadati; Planctomycetota; Phycisphaerae; Phycisphaerales; Phycisphaeraceae
Description: contains 16S-23S intergenic spacer region
Source: RNAcentral